This 320-nucleotide unclassified non-coding RNA is filed under the name plant metagenome. Its description in RNAcentral is "partial contains 5.8S ribosomal RNA, internal transcribed spacer 2, and large subunit ribosomal RNA". The stretch from base 1 to 105 matches the Rfam family "5.8S ribosomal RNA", at positions 50 to 154 of the family's 154-position model. The record is from RNAcentral.
GAAAUGCGAUAAGUAAUGUGAAUUGCAGAAUUCAGUGAAUCAUCGAAUCUUUGAACGCACAUUGCGCCCGCCAGUAUUCUGGCGGGCAUGCCUGUUCGAGCGUCAUUACAACCCUCAGGCCCCCGGGCCUGGCGUUGGGGAUCGGCGGAAGCCCCCUGCGGGCACAACGCCGUCCCCCAAAUACAGUGGCGGUCCCGCCGCAGCUUCCAUUGCGUAGUAGCUAACACCUCGCAACUGGAGAGCGCCGCGGCCACGCCGUAAAACACCCAACUUCUGAAUGUUGACCUCGAAUCAGGUAGGAAUACCCGCUGAACUUAAGC